UUGAGUUAAUUCUUACUUUAAUUUGAUUUGAAUAUAAUUUUAUUAUGAGAAAUAUCUUUAUUUUUAGUAUAUUAAAGAAUAAAUUUGUUAAGUGAUAGUUUAUUAGUACUGUGAAGGAAUGAUGAAAUAUUAUGAAAAUUUCUUCUUUUUUAAGUAGAUUUUAUUUGUUGUACCUUUUGUAUCAGGGUUGAUUAAAUAUUUUUAAUUUAUAUUAUUUUCUCGAUUUUAAAAGAGCUAGGAUCAUAUUACUUUUAAUGUGUCAUAAUUUUAUUUAAUGUGAUUUUGGCGGAGAAAUUCUAUUCGAUUUUAAAGGUAUCUAGUUUUUUAAGAGAUGAAUUUAAUUCUAUGUUUAUUUAUUAAUUAAUUGAUUUUUUAAUUAAUUAUUAAUGAACUUGAAUACUUUAGGGGAUGAGCUCUAAAUUAUUUUUAUAAGCUUUUAAUUUCAMUUAAUUCCUGUAGGAUUUGUAACGUCCAUCAUUAUUAGUACGUUAUAGUUUMMAUUAMUUUUGUUUGAUUUUUUGGGCUUUAAUAUUUUAUUAAAAUAGAGUCUAUAAUUUUUAUUGAUUUGUAAUAAUGAUUAUAUUAGUAUAUUUCUUUGUAAUAUAUUUUUUAAUUGGGAUUAUUAAAUAAGGAACUCGGCAAAUAUAGUUCUCGCCUGUUUAUCAAAAACAUGUCUUCUUGCUUUAUAAUAGGAAGUCUGACCUGCCCAGUGAUUAUUAUUUAACGGCCGCGGUAUUUUGACCGUGCAAAGGUAGCAUAAUCAUUAGUCUUUUAAUAGGAGGCUGGCAUGAAGGGUUUGACGAAGUGCUAACUGUCUCAUUUAAUUUUAUAUUAGAAUUUAACUUUUCAGUGAAAAGGCUGAAAUGUAAUUGGAAGACGAGAAGACCCUAUAGAGUUUUAUAGCUUUAAUUUUUAUUUAUUUAUUAAUCAUUUUUAAUUUUUAGGUUAUUUUGUUGGGGUGACAAGAAUAUAUAUUUAACUUUUCUAUUUAUUUAUCAUUGAUUUAUGUUUAUUAGAUCCAAUCUUAUUGAUUGUUAGAUUAAGUUACCUUAGGGAUAACAGCGUAAUCCUUCUUGAGAGCUCAUAUCUACAGAAGGGCUUGCGACCUCGAUGUUGGAUUAAGAUAAUGGUUAGGAGCAGCGUCUUAAUACAUAGGUCUGUUCGACCUUU
RNAcentral lists this ribosomal RNA (1170 nucleotides) under Hemigomphus heteroclytus. RNAcentral describes it as "partial 16S ribosomal RNA". The record is from RNAcentral. Lineage: Eukaryota; Metazoa; Arthropoda; Insecta; Odonata; Gomphidae.